CCAUCCCUGAUGUUAGCGGCGGACGGGUGAGUAACACGUGGGUAACCUGCCUGUAAGACUGGGAUAACUCCGGGAAACCGGGGCUAAUACCGGAUGGUUGUUUGAACCGCAUGGUUCAAACAUAAAAGGUGGCUUCGGCUACCACUUACAGAUGGACCCGCGGCGCAUUAGCUAGUUGGUGAGGUAACGGCUCACCAAGGCGACGAUGCGUAGCCGACCUGAGAGGGUGAUCGGCCACACUGGGACUGAGACACGGCCCAGACUCCUACGGGAGGCAGCAGUAGGGAAUCUUCCGCAAUGGACGAAAGUCUGACGGAGCAACGCCGCGUGAGUGAUGAAGGUUUUCGGAUCGUAAAGCUCUGUUGUUAGGGAAGAACAAGUACCGUUCGAAUAGGGCGGUACCUUGACGGUACCUAACCAGAAAGCCACGGCUAACUACGUGCCAGCAGCCGCGGUAAUACGUAGGUGGCAAGCGUUGUCCGGAAUUAUUGGGCGUAAAGGGCUCGCAGGCGGUUUCUUAAGUCUGAUGUGAAAGCCCCCGGCUCAACCGGGGAGGGUCAUUGGAAACUGGGGAACUUGAGUGCAGAAGAGGAGAGUGGAAUUCCACGUGUAGCGGUGAAAUGCGUAGAGAUGUGGAGGAACACCAGUGGCGAAGGCGACUCUCUGGUCUGUAACUGACGCUGAGGAGCGAAAGCGUGGGGAGCGAACAGGAUUAGAUACCCUGGUAGUCCACGCCGUAAACGAUGAGUGCUAAGUGUUAGGGGGUUUCCGCCCCUUAGUGCUGCAGCUAACGCAUUAAGCACUCCGCCUGGGGAGUACGGUCGCAAGACUGAAACUCAAAGGAAUUGACGGGGGCCCGCACAAGCGGUGGAGCAUGUGGUUUAAUUCGAAGCAACGCGAAGAACCUUACCAGGUCUUGACAUCCUCUGACAAUCCUAGAGAUAGGACGUCCCCUUCGGGGGCAGAGUGACAGGUGGUGCAUGGUUGUCGUCAGCUCGUGUCGUGAGAUGUUGGGUUAAGUCCCGCAACGAGCGCAACCCUUGAUCUUAGUUGCCAGCAUUCAGUUGGGCACUCUAAGGUGACUGCCGGUGACAAACCGGAGGAAGGUGGGGAUGACGUCAAAUCAUCAUGCCCCUUAUGACCUGGGCUACACACGUGCUACAAUGGACAGAACAAAGGGCAGCGAAACCGCGAGGUUAAGCCAAUCCCACAAAUCUGUUCUCAGUUCGGAUCGCAGUCUGCAACUCGACUGCGUGAAGCUGGAAUCGCUAGUAAUCGCGGAUCAGCAUGCCGCGGGUGGAAAU
RNAcentral lists this ribosomal RNA (1304 nucleotides) under uncultured bacterium. Its description in RNAcentral is "bacterial SSU rRNA". It matches the Rfam family "Bacterial small subunit ribosomal RNA", at positions 80 to 1369 of the family's 1533-position model. The record is from RNAcentral.